GGUCUUUUAGCUUAAUCGGAUAAAGUUUCUAACUGUCAAUUAGAAGGAUACCAGUUCGAAUCUGGUAAAGACCG
Molecule: transfer RNA, 74 nt
Filed under: Russula subnigricans
Lineage: Eukaryota; Fungi; Basidiomycota; Agaricomycetes; Russulales; Russulaceae
Description: tRNA-Asp
Rfam family: tRNA
About the family: Transfer RNA (tRNA) molecules are approximately 80 nucleotides in length. Their secondary structure includes four short double-helical elements and three loops (D, anti-codon, and T loops). Further hydrogen bonds mediate the characteristic L-shaped molecular structure. tRNAs have two regions of fundamental functional importance: the anti-codon, which is responsible for specific mRNA codon recognition, and the 3' end, to which the tRNAs corresponding amino acid is attached (by aminoacyl-tRNA synthetases). tRNAs cope with the degeneracy of the genetic code in two manners: having more than one tRNA (with a specific anti-codon) for a particular amino acid; and 'wobble' base-pairing, i.e. permitting non-standard base-pairing at the 3rd anti-codon position.
Source: RNAcentral